RNAcentral lists this long non-coding RNA (1623 nucleotides) under Oncorhynchus kisutch (coho salmon). Its description in RNAcentral is "lncRNA (ENSOKIG00005023683.1)". The record is from RNAcentral. Lineage: Eukaryota; Metazoa; Chordata; Actinopteri; Salmoniformes; Salmonidae.
AUGGGGGUGUUGGUCCAUGGUGGUGUUAGUCCAUGGUUUUUGUCCAUGGUGGUGUUGGUCCACGGUGGUGUUGGUCCAUGUUGUUGGUCCAUGGUGUUGUUGGUCCAUGGUGUUGUUGGUCCAUGGUGUUGUUGGUCCAUGGUGGUGUUGGUCCAUGGUGGUGUUGGUCCAUUGUGGUGUUGGUCCAUGGUGGUGUUGGUCCAUGUUGGUGUUGGUCUAUGGUGGUGUUGGUCCAUGGUGGUGUUGGUCCAUGGUGGUGUUGGUCCAUGGUGUUGGUCCAUGGUGUUGGUCUAUGGUGGUGUUGGUCUAUGCUGGUGUUGGUCUAUGGUGGUGUUGGUCCAUGGUGUUGGUCCAUGGUGGUGUUGGUCUAUGCUGGUGUUGGUCCAUGGUGUUGGUCUAUGGUGGUGUUGGUCUAUGGUGGUGUUGGUCUAUGGUGGUGUUGGUCCAUGGUGGUGUUGGUCCAUGGUGGUGUUGGUCCAUGGUGUUGGUCUAUGGUGGUGUUGGUCCAUGGUGGUGUUGGUCUAUGCUGGUGUUGGUCCAUGGUGGUGUUGGUCUAUGCUGGUGUUGGUCUAUGGUGGUGUUGGUCUAUGGUGUUGGUCUAUGCUGGUGUUGGUCUAUGGUGGUGUUGGUUCAUGGUGUUGGUCCAUGGUGAUGUUGGUUCAUGGUGUUGGUCUAUGGUGGUGUUGGUCCAUGGUGUUGGUCCAUGGUGUUGGUCCAUGGUGGUGUUGGUCCAUGGUGUUGGUCCAUGGUGUUGGUCCAUGGUGUUGGUCCAUGGUGUUGGUCUAUGGUGGUGUUGGUCUAUGGUGUUGGUCCAUGGUGGUGUUGGUCUAUGGUGGUGUUGGUCCAUGGUGUUGGUCCAUGGUGUUGGUCCAUGGUGUUGGUCCAUGGUGGUGUUGGUCUAUGGUGUUGGUCCAUGGUGUUGGUCCAUGGUGGUGUUGGUCUAUGGUGGUGUUGGUCCAUGGUGUUGGUCCAUGGUGUUGGUCCAUGGUGUUGGUCCAUGGUGGUGUUGGUCUAUGGUGUUGGUCCAUGGUGUUGGUCCAUGGUGGUGUUGGUCCAUGGUGUUGGUCCAUGGUGUUGGUCCAUGGUGUUGGUCCAUGGUGUUGGUCUAUGGUGGUGUUGGUCUAUGGUGUUGGUCUAUGGUGGUGUUGGUCUAUGGUGUUGGUCCAUGGUGGUGUUGGUCCAUGGUGUUGGUCUAUGGUGGUGUUGGUCUAUGGUGGUGUUGGUCGAUGGUGUUGGUCUAUGGUGUUGGUCCAUGGUGGUGUUGGUCCAUGGUGGUGUUGGUCCAUGGUGUUGGUCCAUGGUGGUGUUGGUCCAUGGUGGUGUUGGUCUAUGGUGUUGGUCCAUGGUGUUGGUCCAUGGUGGUGUUGGUCCAUGGUGUUGGUCCAUGGUGUUGGUCUAUGGUGUUGGUCCAUGGUGGUGUUGGUCUAUGGUGUUGGUCCAUGGUGGUGUUGGUCUAUGGUGUUGGUCCAUGGUGGUGUUGGUCUAUGGUGUUGGUCCAUGGUGGUGUUGGUCUAUGGCUCCUCCGUUGUGGAACAGCUUGCCCUGUCAAAAGGGGGCAGACACCAUGAAGGAUUUAAAUCACUUUUAAAAGCCUACCUUUUAAACCGGGCUUUAAAAAUGUGA